ACGACCUUACUUGAACAGGAUCUGUUCUAUUGGCUUGUACCUCUGCAUCCUUGAUUACUAAGGAGACAGGAACCUAAGUCUGGUGGAUGAACCAUGACUGUGUGACCGGAGUGUGAUUAAAAGCGCCGUGGUCCAUACCAUCGGUGCAGUAGAGGAUCAUUCUCAGCUAGUUCCAUCUCGCUGGGGUGGUCACACAGUCAUCUGACAGACU
Molecule: small nucleolar RNA, 211 nt
Organism: Cornus florida
Lineage: Eukaryota; Viridiplantae; Streptophyta; Magnoliopsida; Cornales; Cornaceae
Product: small nucleolar RNA U3
Exons: 1
Source: RefSeq, a predicted model, not a curated record